RNAcentral lists this ribosomal RNA (515 nucleotides) under uncultured bacterium. Its description in RNAcentral is "partial 16S ribosomal RNA". It matches the Rfam family "Bacterial small subunit ribosomal RNA", at positions 28 to 523 of the family's 1533-position model. The record is from RNAcentral.
GACGAACGCUGGCGGCGUGCCUAAUACAUGCAAGUCGAGCGAAUGGAUUAAGAGCUUGCUCUUAUGAAGUUAGCGGCGGACGGGUGAGUAACACGUGGGUAACCUGCCCAUAAGACUAGGAUAACUCCGGGAAACCGGGGCUAAUACCGGAUAACAUUUUGAACCGCAUGGUUCGAAAUUGAAAGGCGGCUUCGGCUGUCACUUAUGGAUGGGCCCGCGUCGCAUUAGCUAGUUGGUGAGGUAACGGCUCACCAAGGCAACGAUGCGUAGCCGACCUGAGAGGGUGAUCGGCCACACUGGGACUGAGACACGGCCCAGACUCCUACGGGAGGCAGCAGUAGGGAAUCUUCCGCAAUGGACGAAAGUCUGACGGAGCAACGCCGCGUGAGUGAUGAAGGCUUUCGGGUCGUAAAACUCUGUUGUUAGGGAAGAACAAGUGCUAGUUGAAUAAGCUGGCACCUUGACGGUACCUAACCAGAAAGCCACGGCUAACUACGUGCCAGCCGCCGCGGUAA